RNAcentral lists this ribosomal RNA (301 nucleotides) under uncultured bacterium. RNAcentral's name for it is "partial 16S ribosomal RNA". It matches the Rfam family "Bacterial small subunit ribosomal RNA", at positions 509 to 807 of the family's 1533-position model. The record is from RNAcentral.
CAGUCGCCGCGGGAAUACAGAGGAUGCAAGCGUUAUCCGGAAUGAUUGGGCGUAAAGCGUCUGUAGGUGGCUUUUCAAGUCCGCCGUCAAAUCCCAGGGCUCAACCCUGGACAGGCGGUGGAAACUACCAAGCUGGAGUACGGUAGGGGCAGAGGGAAUUUCCGGUGGAGCGGUGAAACGCGUCGAGAUCGGAAAGAACACCAACGGCGAAAACACUCUGCUGGGCCGACACUGACACUGAGAGACGAAAGCUAGGGGAGCAAAUGGGAUUAGAUACCCCCGUAGUCCCUGUCUCUUAUAC